CUGCUGGCCCACUGUCCUCAACUCCACAGGCGCCGUCCCGACACAGUGAACUGUCCCAGUUAUUGUUCAGUCACCGUCUGCGAUAUGAGAGAAGAGGGUCAGUGUGCUGUGAGAGUGCUGGGAGGCUGGGAGCUGAAGGUGGAGGACUUGCGUUGGGCAAUGGUGAGACAUGGAAGCAGAGUCCUCAAUUUACUCUCAAGAUGUUGAGGACCUUUGGGAUGGGAGAAGGAACACUGAGGACCGUGUCCAGGAGGAAGCCCAGUAUCUGGCAAAGGCCCUCGCAAAGACAGAGGGUUGGUUUGUGUUGGUGUCUUUUGUCGGCAUGUGCUCCCCACAGGCCAGUCCCCCAGUGGAAGUUCCAUUUAGUGCUCUUGUUCUUUCCUAAGAUCCAUGACACUCCUGCUGGUACUGCUUUCCCGCUUUUCUAUCUGGAAACUAUACACCUCUCCUGCUACUGUUACUUUAAAGGGGAGCAGUGUGGGUGGAACCUGUGUCCAUGGGAAUCUUUCUUGAUUUUUACAACUUUAGCUCUUGCCAGGUCAGCCCUUGGGCCCUGCCUUCAGCCUUGCUGUGUUCCCUCAACAUGAUCUGCUCUGUCCUCUUCAGUGAGCGCUGUGACUAUAAGGUGAGGAAUUCCUGCAACGGAUUGGUUGUCGAAGGAGUUCUUUUCCAUAUCAAGCUCUUGCUGGGCCCAGGAAAAAAACAACCCAUGCACGUUCUGAAUUUAACUUCGAGAACCUAGAAGCCACUGCAUUGGGUCUGUUUGGCGCUACACGAGACGAGAUGGUUGCCACUAGGCCGCAGCUCUCGCUGCUGUUCCUGCCGCCGCUGAGGGUAAUGUUCACAAGGAAAUUGACAGAUUGAGGCCCAGGACUGAUGCUCCUGCAUGAGCGACAGGACCCAGAUGCCCCACACAGAUGCUGUGGUGCAUGAGGUCCAGAGAUACAUGGAUACUCUCCCCUCCAGUCUGCCUCACGCUGCAAUCCGCGACACCAAUUCAGACAGUUCUUCACUCCUAAGGUCCUUCCAGUUGUGGCAUGUGGGACGCUGCCUCAGCGUGGUUUGAUUCGAACCAACGAAACACUGGGCCGCCUGCAGCGGAGUGCACAAACUUAACCACUCGGCCACGGGGCCAGCCCCGAGACAAUAUUUUAAAAGAUAACUUUUGUGGUCUCCUUUUUUUUUCCAAAAACAAGCUUAUGCCCAAUCUUCACUUGUAUAUCCCUCCGAUUUACAUUUUCCUUAUCACUUUGUAUUUCUUCAAGCACGGAUUGCUUCUAAAGUGAUGUCCUAUGCAGUUAUUGCAUAUUUAUAUGUACAGUAUGUAUCCUCAAUCUAGAUUUACAUAUACAAUAUGUAUCAUCAUCAUAUAUUUACAUCUUCAUUCAGCAAAAUAGAAGUAUUAUAUACUCAACUUUAAUGAUUUUAUUUAUGAACAAUAUUUAUCUUCUCUUUCAGUUCAUUACUAAUUGUUUUGGUUCCAUUUGUAAGCCCUUAAUAAGAAAUAAUUUUGCUUCUCUUCAAAAAGUAUCAAACAUACAAUUUCUUGAAUUUAGUCCUUCUGUAUAUGGUUUCACAAAAUUUCACUCUAUCGGUCAGAUUUCCUGUUAUGUUCUCAAGGCUUGCAGUUGCUCUGGGUACUGGCUCCUGCGAGGAUGUGAAAGCAGGGCCAAGGACGUGUGUCUUAGGGUCUCUGUUUACAGAGAGUAAAAGCCAAGGAGCCAGGAGGGUGUGUUUCACGUUGAUCCCGUGGGCCACAGCCCCACCCACUGGCUCGGAUACUUCACCAUCAACUGUCCCAAUUCCCAGAAGGUAUCAAUCCUCCCAGAACUAGUCCUUCAACAUGUACAGUGAAUGUUAUUCAUACGAAGUGUCGCGAUUGAGCUCAUUCCCCUCAGAGUCAUAUGUGCCACCUGUUAUUUCAUCUACUAACAAAUGAUGCUGGGCUCUCUGGAAGGAAGUCCGUUAUUUAACUAUUAGAUUUUCUUGGUUUCAUGGAACAACUGUGUUAACCAUUGCUGUCCUCUGUCUUACACGACAGUAAAGGGUUUUUGAGCCCACAAAGGUUUGAUGCAAAACAUUUUCUGGAUAGAAAUAGGAAGAGAGAUAAGUCAGACAGAGAAAGACAAAUGCCAUAUGAUUUCACUCAUGUGGAAGAUAAACAAACAUAUGAAUACGGAGAAUAGAUUGGUG
Molecule: long non-coding RNA, 2193 nt
Filed under: Equus caballus (horse)
Lineage: Eukaryota; Metazoa; Chordata; Mammalia; Perissodactyla; Equidae
Description: lncRNA (ENSECAG00000048273.1)
Source: RNAcentral